Triticum aestivum (bread wheat) is the source of this 3559-nucleotide RNA transcript. RefSeq lists it as uncharacterized. The record is from RefSeq and is a predicted model, not a curated record. Lineage: Eukaryota; Viridiplantae; Streptophyta; Magnoliopsida; Poales; Poaceae. The transcript is spliced from 6 exons.
CCACCAUAUUCGGUAAAAAAAAACACUUAUCGCUUGGAUCGCGCCUCGCUCCCCGCCCCCGCUCCCCCCUCCUUACCCUCGAGCAAACUGGAAAACAGAGCAAUGGCGACGGAGGAUGCCGCAGCCGGCGGCUUGGAGUUUUUGUCAGAUCCCAUCGACGGGUACCUACGUCAUUUUGCGAUUUACAACUCCUCUUACUGUUCGCUUUCGCUCCGAGGGGUAGAUUCAUCUGGGAUCUGACUGGGCGGCUGACUGUGCGGCUGUCGCCUCUCCUCGAUCUCGGCAGCAGUGAGGCUGUGCUUGACGCUGCAACCACCCAAACACUCGUGGGCGCAGCCGCACAGUCGAGCGUUGCUGAUAUAGGCGAUGCGACGACGACGUACAACUAGAUGCGAACGGCAGCUGCGAUGGAGUCAGCUUAUUGUCAGUUAACAGCUGCUGGAGAAGUUUCAGUUUCGUCAGUCUUUAGUGUUCGUUUUCCUUUCGUCAGUUUCGACAGUAGUUUGCUUUCUUCAGAGAUAAGCCGAGCUGCGUCUCGGUCGUAGUCUGUUAGAUUCUUCCGCGGCUCUGACCCGAUCGUGGGAUGGCACGAAGUAGACGGUCAUGGCCGCAGCGCGAGCAAUGCGCGGGGAGCGCUGGGAUGGCGGUGCUCACGACCCGGGCAUGGCUUGUUUUUCGUUUUCAGUUAGCGUUGUAAUCUCUGAAUAAAAGGAACAGAAAAGCUGCAAAGUUCGGCGCGGCACAAAACUAUCAUCGUCUUCCUCUCUCUCGUGUGAGCUCUCUCGUUAGGUCUCACACUUAUCAGCACCAACCUCCGAGCAGACGGCCGGCAAAGACGAAACCCAAGCCCCUGGCUGGACAAAAAGAGUACGUAUUGGACGAGCACCUCUUGAGCGUCCUUCAUGCGCUGGCAGAAUAAGCGCUCUUGAAAAAACACUGGGAUGCUACGCAGAGAAGAAGAGGGAAACGGUUGUAAUCCCUGCUGUCGGAGACAGCUUUGAUUCUCUUGAAGAAGCAUACGACUACUAAAAUCUGUAUUCUUGGGAAAUUGGUUUCGGAGUACGAUACAGAAAAAGCAGAUUAAAUGUGGAGAGAACAAAAUGUAUGCAAGAAAUAGUUUGCGGCUGCUCGGGUAUACCGAAAAGAAGUAAUACAAGGUCUUGCCGGUGCGGAUGUCCAGCAAUGAUAAGGUUACUACGCUCAAAGGACAACGGAUGGUAUAUAAGCGAGCACAGGGCAUUCCACAAUCACUCUCUCACAGAUAAGUGUGGACAGAAAAUAUAUUGGCCCUCGCAUAGACAUAUCAACAUUUAUAUACGAGAUGUUAUCAAGCAGCUGCGUGCAAAUAAUAUUAGCAUUGGCAAAGUCUACAACAUAAUUGGCAGUUUCUUUGGCUCCAUGAGCAGUAUGCCUUUCAGCAAGAGAGCGUUGAGGGGGCUUUGUGGACAGAUUAGCCGAGAUCAGGCAGAUGAUGACGUCAGAAAGACAAUGGAAGUUUUUGCUGAAUUGGGAUCCAAAGAUUCAGGGUUGUACUACAGAGUACAGCCAGACACGGACAGCCGCAUACGAAAUCUGUUAUGGUCAACAGGAGCAAGCAGAGCACAGUACCACUACUUUGGAGAUGCAAUAACUUUUGAUACAACAUACCGUACAAACAUGUAUCAUAUGCCAUUCGGUUUGUUUGUCGGAGUAAACAAUCAUUUCCAAAGUGUCAUAUUUGGAGGAGUUUUACUUAGAGAUGAGACAAUGGAAACAUUUGAAUGGGUGUUCACUGAGUUUAUCCGUAUGAUGGGCGGCAAGCAUCCACAAACCAUACUGACAGACCAGUGCAGGGCUGUGGAAUUAGCAAUAGAAAAGGUGAUGUCCAACACAACACAUCGGUGGUGUAAGUGGCAUAUCUUAAAAAAAAAGCAAAAGAAUCUCUUGGAGCACAUUACGCGAAGAGGAGCAAGGUCCGAAUGGAGUUCCACAAGAUAAUACACCACAUGUUGACAGUUGAUGAGUUCGAGACAACAUGGAAGCAGCUGAUAGAAACACACGGUUUGCAGAAGCACCCUUACUUGACUCAGAUCUAUGAGACAAGAGAAAAAUGGGCAAAGCCAUAUUUCAAUGGGAAAUUCUGUGCAAAAAUGACCAGCACACAACGCAACGAGAGUGCAAACCAUAUGCUCAAAACUUAUGUUCCAGCAAGCUGCCCCAUGCACCUAUUUGUGCGGCAAUAUAUGAGGCUUCUUUUCGAUAGAGAAGCAGCUGAGAACUACGAGGAAAGACGCACUAUGAUAAAUGCACCAGUUAUGAGGAUGAACACGCCACUCGAGCAGCACGUAGCAAUGUGUACACACGAGCUAUGUUUGAGAAAUUUGGUGAAGUACUAUAUGAAGCAGGGCAAUACAAAAUAGAAGAGGUGAGCAUAUGGAAAUCAUAUCUAGCGCGACGACACCAUCCAGAGAAGCAUGAAAAAUGGUGCAGAGUACUCUACAAGGUUGAAGUUAUUGAGGACGGCGCAUCGAUAGUAUCGAUAGUGUGCGAGUGUGGUAAUUUUGAACACACGGGCUUGCUUUGCUGCCACGCAUUAAAUGUAAGGUCCUCGAUGUCCUAGGAAUGGAUCAGAUACCAGCAAAGCAAAUUCUGAAGCGCUGGACAAAGGAUGCAAGGGAUGUGUUGCCAGAUCAUCUGGUGCACCUUCAGAAGGAUAAGAUUAAUGUCAACUCUAUAACAUUCAGGCACUCAAAUUUAUACACUCAUGCCCUCGAAGUUGUCCGUCUUGGUGAUGCCAACACAUGGACUUAUGAAUGUGCAAUGGAAAUACUGAAGAAAGCAAUGGAUACACUGACGCCCAUGGCCAGUGUCCGCGACGGGAUGGGGCUUGAAGACAGAAUUCAUUCAGAUAAGGGGAAAGACAAAGAGCUGAUUCCAAUGCAUGCAGCAAAAAGUCAUGAAGACAGCGAUGCUGAGGGUAGUGCGGUUGGAAAUUUCAUCGGCUUAAAGCCUCCAGAACGAAAACUUAAACCAGGUAGACCUACUACCAGCAGGGACAAGCCUCCAUAUGAUGAUCCAGGCGCAAAGAGCAAAAAAUUCAAGGACGCAACGAACGGAAAAGCUCCAGAUGGUUCUGGUACAAGCAAACGUACUCAUCUCUGCAGUAUAUGCCGUGGAGCUGGGCACAAGAGUACUGCAUGUCCGCAGAGAGGUGAUCUCCCUCGCAAAGAAAGGAAAGAGGCCAAAUGUUCAAACUGCGGUGUUGGUGGACACAAGAAGAACACCUGCAACAAACCUAAAGUGGUGCUGCAUGUUGUUGAAAAUGCAACCUUGGAGCAGAUUUCCAUCUAGAAAAAUCUGAAUUCUGUUGUAGUCGGCUCCGUAGGCAUAAUAGUUCUGUUGCCUCUUGUAAUGUUGAGUGCUCAUCCAUUAAUCAGUAGAACUAUUUCAAAUAAUCCUGGUGGCAGUUUUCACGAUCAGCUGCUGUCAUGACUGUCUGUAUCUCUCUUUCCCGCACAUAACGUGACCACUUUCAUGUCUUAAAAAAUUUCCAUCAGCUCUGUCAAAUUGCGGGUGUUCA